UGGGGAAUAUUGCACAAUGGGCGCAAGCCUGAUGCAGCCAUGCCGCGUGUAUGAAGAAGGCCUUCGGGUUGUAAAGUACUUUCAGCGGGGAGGAAGGGAGUAAAGUUAAUACCUUUGCUCAUUGACGUUACCCGCAGAAGAAGCACCGGCUAACUCCGUGCCAGCAGCCGCGGUAAUACGGAGGGUGCAAGCGUUAAUCGGAAUUACUGGGCGUAAAGCGCACGCAGGCGGUUUGUUAAGUCAGAUGUGAAAUCCCCGGGCUCAACCUGGGAACUGCAUCUGAUACUGGCAAGCUUGAGUCUCGUAGAGGGGGGUAGAAUUCCAGGUGUAGCGGUGAAAUGCGUAGAGAUCUGGAGGAAUACCGGUGGCGAAGGCGGCCCCCUGGACGAAGACUGACGCUCAGGUGCGAAAGAGGGGGGAGCAAACAGG
This 429-nucleotide ribosomal RNA is filed under the name Chloroflexota bacterium. RNAcentral describes it as "Chloroflexi bacterium partial 16S ribosomal RNA". It matches the Rfam family "Bacterial small subunit ribosomal RNA", at positions 355 to 776 of the family's 1533-position model. The record is from RNAcentral. Lineage: Bacteria; Bacillati; Chloroflexota.